RNAcentral lists this ribosomal RNA (253 nucleotides) under uncultured bacterium. Its description in RNAcentral is "partial 16S ribosomal RNA". It matches the Rfam family "Bacterial small subunit ribosomal RNA", at positions 524 to 776 of the family's 1533-position model. The record is from RNAcentral.
AACGUAGGAGGCUAGCGUUAUUCGGAUUUAUUGGGCGUAAAGCGCGUGCAGGCGGUCUGACAAGUUGGAUGUGAAAGCUCCUGGCUCAACCGGGAGACGUCGUUCAAAACUGUUGGACUAGAGAAUGGGAGAGGGAGGUGGAAUUCCGGGUGUAGUGGUGAAAUGCGUAGAUAUCCGGAGGAACACCAGUGGCGAAAGCGGCCUCCUGGACCAUUUCUGACGCUAAGACGCGAAAGCUAGGGUAGCAAACGGG